AACGAACGCUGGCGGCAUGCCUAACACAUGCCAGUCGAACGAGACCUUCGGGUCUAGUGGCGCACGGGUGCGUAACGCGUGGGAACCUGCCCUUAGGUUCGGAAUAACUCCCCGAAAGGGGUGCUAAUACCGGAUAAUGUCUUCGGACCAAAGAUUUAUCGCCUUUGGAUGGGCCCGCGUUGGAUUAGCUAGUUGGUAGGGUAAAAGCCUACCAAGGCGACGAUCCAUAGCUGGUCUGAGAGGAUGAUCAGCCACACUGAGACUGAGACACGGCCCAGACUCCUACGGGAGGCAGCAGUGGGGAAUAUUGGACAAUGGGCGAAAGCCUGAUCCAGCAAUGCCGCGUGAGUGAUGAAGGCCUUAGGGUUGUAAAGCUCUUUUACCCGGGAUGAUAAUGACAGUACCGGGAGAAUAAGCGCCGGCUAACUCCGUG
RNAcentral lists this ribosomal RNA (433 nucleotides) under uncultured bacterium. Its description in RNAcentral is "partial 16S ribosomal RNA". It matches the Rfam family "Bacterial small subunit ribosomal RNA", at positions 29 to 507 of the family's 1533-position model. The record is from RNAcentral.